Molecule: long non-coding RNA, 3289 nt
Organism: Columba livia (rock pigeon)
Lineage: Eukaryota; Metazoa; Chordata; Aves; Columbiformes; Columbidae
Exons: 3
Source: RefSeq, a predicted model, not a curated record
GCAGCCUGCGCGCACGUGCCGGGCAGCGUGCGCGGGGGUCACGUGGGCGCGCGCGUGAUGCGCGGCGCGAAGCGGCCGUUUAGGGCCUCCGGCUGCAUCAGGGGCCGCGCUGAACCGGGCCGGGGGGCGAGGGGAAGCAGCAGCUUUAUCGCCGGGCAAUCGACUGAGGCGGCGCUCGGUGCGAUCUCGCGCGGAGCCCUAUCGGGGGGCUAAGAAACAGCCCCCGUCGCUGGGGGUCUUCUCUGUGGCGGACCCGCCUCCGGGUUCCCUGCCGGUGUUUCACAGAAUUGCUGUCCAGCGCUAACGCGUCUGCACAAGCACUGGCUUUUAAAACCAGAGGGCUGCAAUCAUGCAGACAGGAAUACCCGGCAGCUGUCUGCACUUGGGGAACUGCUGAUACCAGAGAAUUGAGGGGCCAGUUCCCAAAGCACUCAUCAAAGGUUGUUGUAUCGUUUAGUUUCUGUUAGAUAAUGCACCUCACUAUGAUAAUCUGUGAAGGAGAAGGCAAUGUGGAUGUGCUUCUAAUAAGGAAUAAAUCUGCAUUUCUAAUUUGAUCCCCGAAGAUCUCAGCUGAGGUAAAAAAAUCGGUAAAGACUAGUGAAAAUCAGUGCACACCUGCUUUUAAAGUAAAACAAGACAAAUGGGGACAGGGAAAUUGAGCUUUAGAAAGAUGUAAGAAACCAAACCAAAACAAAACAAUGAACUACAACAACCAACAGGCCUUUAUGGAAGCAGGAGAAAGAACUCGCCCUGACCCCUGUGGUGCAGUAGAGCUGCCUGGGAUCCCAGUCCCUGCUUUCCAAAACACAAGGUCAUGUCUUCACCCCCUGCCCGAGGCAUGACCAGCCUCCUUUGAGAUGCAGCAGGAAGGGGCGCGCUUGCACCCCAGGAAAGGGCAGCAGCGGUGGCGGCAGCAGGUGCGCUGCCACUGGGUGCCCCGUGAGUGCAGUGAGGCAGAACAGCUUCUGCUGCUGAGCCUGGGGCAGGGCAGCUCUGUGCAGCCAGCGGCGCUGCCGUAAUUGAGGCUGCAAUGAGUUUAGUGUUUGUGACAGAUUGACAGCCUCGAAGAGCAAAAUGCUGUAGCCACAGGAAGGAUGCAGAGAGUAAAGCGACAGUGGCAGCUCACCCUUGCUCGCGUCCUGCCUGCACGUGUCUAGGAUUUGCAUGGCUGUUGCUAGUGGCAGGUGAGCCACUGGCUUCUCUCUGCUGCUAUGUGACCUACUGAGACUGAACUAUAACCAGAGAUAGUAAAUAGAGAUUUAGACUUUCUUGAGUGAAACUGGCUCUAAAAAAUCCAAGUUGUCUUAUUUUGUGUGGCUUUUUUUUUUCCUGGGAGGAAAUUUGGCAUUUUUGUUACUUUAUUUCUUUGAAGUCAUGCUUUCAAGUUCAUUUCUGCAACCAGCAUGCAGGAAACUUCUCAAAGAAGGCAGAGAUCACAUGACUCCAGGAGCUGAUGUUUGAAGAGAAAAGGAAAUACGUUGCAAAACCCAGGGUACAGGGUAGACUGUACGUUUGCCUGAAACGCACAUGGCACCCAGUCCCAAAGCUUGCUGGAUGUCGAAGACAUUCAGUCUGCUGCGAGUAGUAGUGAAAAUUAAACAAACAAAGCCCCAAAACAUAGACUUAGGACCUAUUGCAAAGCCCAUUCUCGAGAAAAGGACUCACAUGAACUCAAUUGGUAGGUCAGACCUUUCUUAACAGGGCUGAUAGUUUGAGUUCUAUAGCUGUAAUCCUUCCAAACGUGAAACUUUCAUUGCCUCCAGUGGGAGGUACAUGAUAUAACCUUCCACUGGCUUAACAAUCUCAACUGUGUUUAUUUAAUGCACUAUAAUGGAGCCUUUCAUGCCACUAUAAUAUACUGGAUAAAUAAGAUCUGUUUUCAAAGUUUAUAGCUUAAGAAAAUACAUUUAUUGGCUUGCAUCCUUUAUCUUGUGGUUUAUGAGAAAAUAGAGUAGGUACUUAAGGGUGUACAGUAAAUGUAGCACCCAGUCCUGCACUCUUAGCACUUGAGAAGUGCAGAUGAGGGUCCAUGUAUCACAGAGUUGCAGAAAGUAGGUAGGAAAAAUCAAGCAUUGAUAACACAUAUUUGUGUAUAAUUGAAUGUACAUUUAAACCUGUCAGGCUCUUGUCCAGUGUUUGUAUGAUUUUUUCUAACCUUGAGCAAAGACGAAACAUACCAUUUGAUUUAGUCUCCAAAGGGAUCUUGAGGGAGCCUGGAACUUAAUAAUUAAAGUGGGGUCUAGGGUCCCUGUCAUUGGCCUUUUGUCUCCAGCAGCAAUGGGUUAUCAGCAUCAAUUACAAACCUUUUUUUCCACAUGCUUGCUUAUGUUAAGCACUGGUAUUAUCUGAACACACGUAUUUUGUCUUUAUGUUUUAUGUAAUAAAAUUUAAUAGGCUCCACUGAUGGUGCAACUUGGUGUAAAGUCAUUUGGCACAUUUGAUUCAAGGGCUAAUAAAAACAGGCCUUCCUGUUAUUGUACAUGGUAAAUACUGAAAUUGAUAAAACCCUAUAAGGAACUAGGUUUAUAGUCCAAUGAAAUCUAAACUGAUUCAUAUUCCCAAAGGCUGAAAAUUUGCAAAAGACAUAAAGCCUGGCCCAUGCUCAUGUUUCAAAGCACCCAAGCUGUUCAUGAGGGGUACAAUUUUCUUGAAAAGUGCUUGUGGCUCCACUCUUUCUGUGCAAAUAGUAAUAUGGUAGGAAUGGCUUCCUGCUCAGAAAGGCCGAUUCCUUCCCCGGUGUGAGGAGUUGGAGUAUAUGAGCACAUUCAUCCCAGUGUAACUCCGGCCACGUAACAAGUGUUAAGCUGUUCAAAUAUGCAGGUCAAAGUAAAGUGGCUGGUGAGUUACUGAGUUGAAGGGUUGAACCAAGUCUGCUUUCAUUCCUGUGAUAGCACAAGGUGCAGGACAGGAUCCAAAGACAACUGAGGUCAGACACAGUUUUUUCCAUUACCUUUGAUGACCUUUGAUUUCAACCCACACAUAAUUGCUUUUAGCGGGUAUAUGGAUACAAAGGAGCAGCCUUUGGUCCAUUAUCAUCACUGUAUGGAAAAAGCACUUGUAUGUGUCCAUUGAUAUGUGUACAGAUAGCCUUCCUGUAUCUCUUUCUAGUGGGAAUUAAUUUUACUAUACAGCUUCCAUGCAAAAAGUCAGAUACCUAUUCCUUAACAAUCCCAUUUGAACAGUUUAAAAGGAGCUCUUAUUGUUCACUCGAUUUAUAAUUCCUCCUAUAUUUUAAAGGACUGCUGGAACCAACACAAGUCUUAGAGUUUUCUAUUCCAUUUGUGUUGCA